CUGCAGUCGAACGGAAAGGCCCUUCGGGGUACUCGAGUGGCGAACGGGUGAGUAACACGUGGGUGAUCUGCCCUGCACUUUGGGAUAAGCCUGGGAAACUGGGUCUAAUACCGAAUAUGACUGCGCACUUCCUGGUGUGUGGUGGAAAGCUUUUGCGGUGUGGGAUGGGCCCGCGGCCUAUCAGCUUGUUGGUGGGGUAAUGGCCUACCAAGGCGACGACGGGUAGCCGGCCUGAGAGGGUGACCGGCCACACUGGGACUGAGAUACGGCCCAGACUCCUACGGGAGGCAGCAGUGGGGAAUAUUGCACAAUGGGCGCAAGCCUGAUGCAGCGACGCCGCGUGAGGGAUGACGGCCUUCGGGUUGUAAACCUCUUUCAAUAGGGACGAAGCGCAAGUGACGGUACCUAUAGAAGAAGGACCGGCCAACUACGUGCCAGCAGCCGCGGUAAUACGUAGGGUCCGAGCGUUGUCCGGAAUUACUGGGCGUAAAGAGCUCGUAGGUGGUUUGUCGCGUUGUUCGUGAAAACUCACAACUCAAUUGUGGGCGUGCGGGCGAUACGGGCAGACUAGAGUACUGCAGGGGAGACUGGAAUUCCUGGUGUAGCGGUGGAAUGCGCAGAUAUCAGGAGGAACACCGGUGGCGAAGGCGGGUCUCUGGGCAGUAACUGACGCUGAGGAGCGAAAGCGUGGGGAGCGAACAGGAUUAGAUACCCUGGUAGUCCACGCCGUAAACGGUGGGUACUAGGUGUGGGUUCCUUCCUUGGGAUCCGUGCCGUAGCUAACGCAUUAAGUACCCCGCCUGGGGAGUACGGCCGCAAGGCU
Molecule: ribosomal RNA, 823 nt
Filed under: Mycobacterium sp. PAP3-17_Pa
Lineage: Bacteria; Bacillati; Actinomycetota; Actinomycetes; Mycobacteriales; Mycobacteriaceae
Description: bacterial SSU rRNA
Rfam family: Bacterial small subunit ribosomal RNA
Source: RNAcentral